CUUAACAAUGACCACUAGAGGGAGCCACAGACUGUUUGCCAUCAAUGGAUGAUGUCAUGUUGACGGUUCACCAACAGAUGAUGUAGAUGAAGGUCCAGAUGGUUCAGAGUCUCAGUGUUCUUCCUCUCUCUCCUCCCCUCUCACUGCAGACAUGAAACACUGGCUGACAAACAUCCUGAUUCUGACUCUCUGGCUCGAGUGUAAAGGAGAAGACAGAGUGAUCCAGCCCAAAGCAGAUGUCAUUGCUGCUGAAGGACACCACGUCACACUUCAAUGUUCCUUUGAAACCAGCACCGCAAGUCCUGGUUUGUUCUGGUACCAACAAGAACUAAAUAGUUCUCCAAAGUUUAUGCUGAAACGUUUCAGUUUUGGAGGAGGACAAAAUGCUGCAGAGUUCAACAAAGAGAGAUUUGAUGCUGAAGUCAACAAGACAUCAGUUGAUCUGAAGAUCCAGAAGCUGCAGCUGCGAGACUCUGCUGUGUACUACUGUGCUCUGCAGCCCACAGUGACAGCAAGCAGCAAAAGAGAGGACAAAAACACUACACAACCACCACUAGGUCAGAUUGGGGGACUGAUGAUGCACUUUAUUGAACACGGUACUUCCACAUUUAGAGGGGACUAA
Non-coding RNA from Thalassophryne amazonica, 622 nucleotides. NCBI's taxonomy places the organism in Eukaryota, Metazoa, Chordata, Actinopteri, Batrachoidiformes, Batrachoididae. The record is from the annotation of a RefSeq genome assembly.